This 253-nucleotide ribosomal RNA is filed under the name uncultured bacterium. RNAcentral's name for it is "partial 16S ribosomal RNA". It matches the Rfam family "Bacterial small subunit ribosomal RNA", at positions 524 to 776 of the family's 1533-position model. The record is from RNAcentral.
UACGUAGGGGGCUAGCGUUGUCCGGAUUUAUUGGGCGUAAAGAGCGUGUAGGCGGCCAGGUAGGUCCGUUGUGAAAACUCGAGGCUCAACCUCGAGACGUCGGCGGAAACCCUCUGGCUAGAGUCCGGAAGAGGAGAGUGGAAUUCCUGGUGUAGCGGUGAAAUGCGCAGAUAUCAGGAAGAACACCCGUGGCGAAGGCGGCUCUCUGGGACGGUACUGACGCUGAGGAGCGAAAGCGUGGGGAGCGAACAGG